CCUACGGGGGGCUGCAGUGGGGAAUAUUGGACAAUGGGGGCAACCCUGAUCCAGCCAUGCCGCGUGUGUGAAGAAGGCCUUCGGGUUGUAAAGCACUUUAAGUGGGGAGGAAGGCUCGAUGGUUAAUAGUCAGCGGGAGUGACGUUACCCACAGAAUAAGCACCGGCAAACUCCGUGCCAGCAGCCGCGGUCAUACGGAGGGUGUGAGCGUUAAUCGGAAUUACGUGGCGUAAAGCUCACGUCGGCGGUGAAAUCCCUGGGCUCAACCUGGGAGCUGCAUUCGAUACUGGCAGACUUGAAUACGGUAGAGGGGGGUGGAAUACCAGGUGUAGCGGUGAAAUGCGUAGAGAUCUGGAGGAACACCAGUGGCGAAGGCGGCCCCCUGGACCGAUAUUGACGCUGAGGUGCGAAAGCGUGGGGAGCAAACAGGAUUAGAUACCCGGGUAGUC
RNAcentral lists this ribosomal RNA (449 nucleotides) under uncultured bacterium. RNAcentral's name for it is "partial 16S ribosomal RNA". It matches the Rfam family "Bacterial small subunit ribosomal RNA", at positions 338 to 795 of the family's 1533-position model. The record is from RNAcentral.